GAGUUUGAUCAUGGCUCAGGAUGAACGCUGGCGGUCUGCUUAACACAUGCAAGUCGAACGGACUCUUCGGAGUUAGUGGCGGACGGGUGAGUAACGCGUGAGAAUCUGCCUCUAGGACGGGGACAACAGAGGGAAACUUCUGCUAAUCCCGGAUGAGCCGGAAGGUCAAAGAUUUAUCGCCUAGAGAUGAGCUCGCGUCUGAUUAGCUAGUUGGUGGGGUAAAAGCUUACCAAGGCAACGAUCAGUAGCUGGUCUGAGAGGAUGAUCAGCCACACUGGGACUGAGACACGGCCCAGACUCCUACGGGAGGCAGCAGUGGGGAAUUUUCCGCAAUGGGCGCAAGCCUGACGGAGCAAGACCGCGUGGGGGAGGAAAGCCUUUGGGUUGUAAACCCCUUUUCUCAGGGAAGAAGCAAGUGACGGUACCUGAGGAAUCAGCCUCGGCUAACUCCGUGCCAGCAGCCGCGGUAAUACGGAGGAGGCAAGCGUUAUCCGGAAUGAUUGGGCGUAAAGCGUUCGUAGGUGGCAACUCAAGUCUGCUGUCAAAGACCGGAGCUCAACUCCGGAAAGGCAGUGGAAACUGAGUAGCUUGAGUGCGGUAGGGGCAGAGGGAAUUCCCGGUGUAGCGGUGAAAUGCGUAGAGAUCGGGAAGAACACCGGUGGCGAAAGCGCUCUGCUGGGCCGCAACUGACACUGAGGGACGAAAGCUAGGGGAGCGAAUGGGAUUAGAUACCCCAGUAGUCCUAGCUGUAAACGAUGAAACUAGGUGUUGCCUGUAUCGACCCAGGCAGUGCCGUAGCUAACGCGUUAAGUUUCCCGCCUGGGGAGUACGCACGCAAGUGUGAAACUCAAAGGAAUUGACGGGGGCCCGCACAAGCGGUGGAGUAUGUGGUUUAAUUCGAUGCAACGCGAAGAACCUUACCAGGGCUUGACAUGUCCGGAACUCUGGGGAAACUCGGAGGUGCCUUCGGGAGCCGGAACACAGGUGGUGCAUGGCUGUCGUCAGCUCGUGUCGUGAGAUGUUGGGUUAAGUCCCGCAACGGGCGCAACCCUCGUUCUUAGUUGCCAGCAUUAAGUUGGGCACUUUAGGAAGACUGCCGGUGACAAACCGGAGGAAGGUGGGGAUGACGUCAAGUCAUCAUGCCCCAUACGUCCUGGGCUACACACGUACUACAAUGGGAAGGACAAAGGGCAGCCACUUCGCGAGGAGGAGCUAAUCCCAGAAACCUUGCCUCAGUUCAGAUUGCGGGCUGCAACUCGCCUGCAUGAAGGAGGAAUCGCUAGUAAUCGCAGGUCAGCAUACUGCGGUGAAUCCGUUCCCGGGCCUUGUACACACCGCCCGUCACACCAUGGAAGUUAGCCAUGCCCGAAGUCAUUACUCUAACUGUUCGCAGAGGAGGGUGCCGAAGGCAGGGCUGAUGACUGGGGUGAAGUCGUAACAAGGUAACCG
RNAcentral lists this ribosomal RNA (1449 nucleotides) under uncultured bacterium. RNAcentral describes it as "bacterial SSU rRNA". It matches the Rfam family "Bacterial small subunit ribosomal RNA". The record is from RNAcentral.